GACGAACGCUGGCGGCGUGCUUAACACAUGCAAGUCGAACGGUGAAGCGCCUCCCUUUUUGGUUGGUGUGGUUGAGUGGCGAACGGGUGCGUAACACUUGAGUAACCUGCCCCCUUCUUUUGGUUAACCGCAUUAAAGCUUGGCUAAUACGGGAUCUUCUGCUUCUUUCUCAUGAUUGGUCUGGGACAGCUAUUGUUUCUGUGCUCGCUGCGCUCGCGGCCUAUCAGCUUGUUGUGGGGGUGAGGGCCUUGGAAGGCGGUGCCGGGUAGCAGGCCUGAGAGGGUGGACGGUCAGAGAGGGACUGAGACACGGCCGAGACUGCGACGGGGGGCAGCAGUGGGGAAUAGGGAGCAAUGGGGGAAAGCGUGAAGCAGCGACGCGGCGGGAGGGAUGGAGGCGUUCGGGUUGUGAACCUCUUUGGGCAGUGAAGCAGGUCUGCCUCGUAUGUAGGUGGGGUGACGGUAGCUGGAAAAGAAGCGCCGGCUAAUUACGUG
Molecule: ribosomal RNA, 494 nt
Filed under: uncultured bacterium
Lineage: Bacteria
Description: partial 16S ribosomal RNA
Rfam family: Bacterial small subunit ribosomal RNA
Source: RNAcentral